This 270-nucleotide ribosomal RNA is filed under the name uncultured soil bacterium. Its description in RNAcentral is "partial 16S ribosomal RNA". It matches the Rfam family "Bacterial small subunit ribosomal RNA", at positions 26 to 285 of the family's 1533-position model. The record is from RNAcentral.
AGAAUCAACGCUGGCGGCGUGCCUAACACAUGCAAGUCGAACGCGAAAGUGGAGCAAUCCAUGAGUAGAGUGGCAAACGGGUGAGUAACGCGUGGGCGACCUACCUCGAAGUGGGGGAUAACCUUCCGAAAGGAGGGCUAAUACCGCAUGACAUCCCGUGUUUGGAUACACGGACAUCAAAGCCGGGAUCGCAAGACCUGGCGCUUCAAGAGGGCCCGCGUCCGAUUAGCUAGUUGGUGAGGUAACGGCUCACCAAGGCUCCGAUCGGUA